RNAcentral lists this ribosomal RNA (253 nucleotides) under uncultured bacterium. Its description in RNAcentral is "partial 16S ribosomal RNA". It matches the Rfam family "Bacterial small subunit ribosomal RNA", at positions 524 to 776 of the family's 1533-position model. The record is from RNAcentral.
UACGUAGGGGGCAAGCGUUGUCCGGAUUUAUUGGGCGUAAAGCGCUCGCAGGUGGUUCGAUACGUCGUGCGUGAAAGACCCCGGCUCAACUGGGGAGUGUCGUGCGAUACGGUCGGACUGGAGGCCAGUAGGGGGAUGCGGAAUUCCGGGUGUAGUGGUGGAAUGCGUAGAGAUCCGGAGGAACACCAGCGGCGAAGGCGGCAUCCUGGACUGGUCCUGACACUCAUGAGCGAAAGCGUGGGGAGCGAUCCGG